Schistosoma mattheei is the source of this 46-nucleotide non-coding RNA. NCBI's taxonomy places the organism in Eukaryota, Metazoa, Platyhelminthes, Trematoda, Strigeidida, Schistosomatidae. The record is from Rfam.
ACACUGCUGAGGAGUCCCACAACAGGACGAAACGGCCGUUCAGUGC